GAGGGUAUAGCUCAGUGGUAGAGUGUGUGCUUGGCAUGCACGAGGUCCUGGGUUCAAUCCCCAGUACCGCCA
RNAcentral lists this transfer RNA (72 nucleotides) under Camelus bactrianus (Bactrian camel). It matches the Rfam family "tRNA". Rfam says of the family: Transfer RNA (tRNA) molecules are approximately 80 nucleotides in length. Their secondary structure includes four short double-helical elements and three loops (D, anti-codon, and T loops). Further hydrogen bonds mediate the characteristic L-shaped molecular structure. tRNAs have two regions of fundamental functional importance: the anti-codon, which is responsible for specific mRNA codon recognition, and the 3' end, to which the tRNAs corresponding amino acid is attached (by aminoacyl-tRNA synthetases). tRNAs cope with the degeneracy of the genetic code in two manners: having more than one tRNA (with a specific anti-codon) for a particular amino acid; and 'wobble' base-pairing, i.e. permitting non-standard base-pairing at the 3rd anti-codon position. Lineage: Eukaryota; Metazoa; Chordata; Mammalia; Artiodactyla; Camelidae. The record is from Rfam by way of RNAcentral. RNAcentral also lists the same sequence under 2 other names.